RNAcentral lists this ribosomal RNA (469 nucleotides) under uncultured bacterium. Its description in RNAcentral is "partial 16S ribosomal RNA". It matches the Rfam family "Bacterial small subunit ribosomal RNA", at positions 28 to 507 of the family's 1533-position model. The record is from RNAcentral.
GACGAACGCUGGCGGCGUGCUUAACACAUGCAAGUCGAACGGAAAGGCCCUGCUUGCCGGGUGCUCGAGUGGCGAACGGGUGAGUAACACGUGGGUGAUCUGCCCCUUACUUUGGGAUAAGCCUGGGAAACUGGGUCUAAUACUGGAUAGGACCAUGCUGUAGGUGGUGUGGUGGAAAGAUUAGUUUCGGUAAGGGAUGAGCUCGCGGCCUAUCAGCUUGUUGGUGGGGUAAUGGCCUACCAAGGCGUCGACGGGUAGCCGGCCUGAGAGGGUGGACGGCCACAUUGGGACUGAGAUACGGCCCAGACUCCUACGGGAGGCAGCAGUGGGGAAUAGUGCACAAUGGGCGCAAGCCUGAUGCAGCGACGCCGCGUGGGGGAUGACGGCCUUCGGGUUGUAAACUCCUUGCAGCCAUGACGAAGCCCUUGUGGUGACGGUAGUGGUAGAAGAAGCACCGGCUAACUACGUG